AUAUUGGUGGUGUGGACAAUACUAGAGAAGAGCCUUGAAGCAUUCCCAAGCAUGAUAUAUAUUUUCAACAGGUUUCUAUUUGAAGCUCACUAUCUUACUGCAAAGUCU
Non-coding RNA from Capsicum annuum, 108 nucleotides. Lineage: Eukaryota; Viridiplantae; Streptophyta; Magnoliopsida; Solanales; Solanaceae. The record is from Rfam.